CACCUAGGAAUGUUCGGCUUGACCCAUGACUCAACAUGGCUUAAUGGGAGUAGAGAUAUGACCAGAACAGGACUUUGAAAUUGACCUAACCUGCGCCUAUGCCUUCUUCAUCAUGCCUUCUUUUCCCAUGAGAAUAAACUUUGGGCAGCCUCUGGAUGAAGAAGGGAAACGGAUAACAGGAAUCUAUCACGCCACGCUGUACUGAAGAGUAAUGAAUAGUGCUGUUAACAAAUGA
Molecule: long non-coding RNA, 235 nt
Organism: Mus musculus (house mouse)
Lineage: Eukaryota; Metazoa; Chordata; Mammalia; Rodentia; Muridae
Product: predicted gene, 46602
Exons: 2
Source: RefSeq, a predicted model, not a curated record